UACGUAGGGGGCAAGCGUUGUUCGGAUUCAUUGGGCGUAAAGGGUGCGUAGGCGGCGCGGUAAGUCGGGGGUGAAAUCUCGGAGCUUAACUCCGAAACUGCAUUUGAUACUGCGGUGCUUGAGGACUGGAGAGGAGACUGGAAUUCAUGGUGUAGCAGUGAAAUGCGUAGAGAUCAUGAGGAAGACCAGUGGCGAAGGCGGGUCUCUGGACAGUUCCUGACACUGAGACACGAAGGCCAGGGGAGCAAACGGG
RNAcentral lists this ribosomal RNA (253 nucleotides) under uncultured bacterium. RNAcentral describes it as "partial 16S ribosomal RNA". It matches the Rfam family "Bacterial small subunit ribosomal RNA", at positions 524 to 776 of the family's 1533-position model. The record is from RNAcentral.